Molecule: ribosomal RNA, 400 nt
Filed under: uncultured bacterium
Lineage: Bacteria
Description: bacterial SSU rRNA
Rfam family: Bacterial small subunit ribosomal RNA
Source: RNAcentral
UGGGGAAUAUUGCACAAUGGGCGCAAGCCUGAUGCAGCGACGCCGCGUGAGGGAUGACGGCCUUCGGGUUGUAAACCUCUGUUAGCAGGGAAGAAGAGAGAUUGACGGUACCUGCAGAGAAAGCGCCGGCUAACUACGUGCCAGCAGCCGCGGUAAUACGUAGGGCGCGAGCGUUGUCCGGAAUUAUUGGGCGUAAAGAGCUUGUAGGCGGUUUGUCGCGUCUGCUGUGAAAGGCCGGAGCUUAACUCCGUGUAUUGCAGUGGGUACGGGCAGACUAGAGUGCAGUAGGGGAGACUGGAAUUCCUGGUGUAGCGGUGGAAUGCGCAGAUAUCAGGAGGAACACCGAUGGCGAAGGCAGGUCUCUGGGCUGUAACUGACGCUGAGAAGCGAAAGCAUGGGG